CCAGGAGGUUGGCUUAGAAGCAGCCAUCCUUUAAAGAUAGCGUAACAGCUCACUGGUCUAAAUAAGUUGUCCUGCGGCGAAGAUGUAACGGGGCUCAAGCCAUGAGCCGAAGUCUAGGGUGUGCACUUUUGUGCAUGCGGUAGCAGAGCGUAGUGUGACAUAGUUCCAGUCCUCUUUAGCAAUCUUCGGAUUGCCUUGGAGGAUAUGGAGCUUUCGAUGAAGCGGGCGUGUGAACGAUCCCGUGGAGAGAUCACUAGUGAGAAUGAUGACAUGAGUAGCGACAAAGAGUGUGAGAGACACUCUCGCCGAAAGUCCAAGGGUUCCUGCUUAAAGCUAAUCUGAGCAGGGUAAGCCGACCCCUAAGGCGAGGCCGAAAGGCGUAGUCGAUGGGAACCAGGUUAAUAUUCCUGGGCCAGAUGGAAGUGACGGAUCGUGAAGGUUGUUCCUCCUUAUUGGAUUGGAGGGGCCGCUAAUCGGUUCCUGGAAAUAGCUCCAUCAUAAGAUCGUACCCUAAACCGACACAGGUGGACAGGUAGAGAAUACCAAGGCGCUUGAGAGAACGAUGUUGAAGGAACUCGGCAAAAUACCUCCGUAAGUUCGCGAGAAGGAGGCCCAGUUUCUACGCAAGUAUUGGCUGGGGGCACAAACCAGGGGGUGGCGACUGUUUACUAAAAACACAGGGCUCUGCGAAGUCGCAAGACGACGUAUAGGGUCUGACGCCUGCCCGGUGCCUGAAGGUUAAAAGGAGGGGUGAGAGCUCCGAAUUGAAGCCCAGGUAAACGGCGGCCGUAACUAUAACGGUCCUAAGGUAGCGAAAUUCCUUGUCGGGUAAGUUCCGACCUGCACGAAUGGCGUAACGACUUCCCCGCUGUCUCCAACAUCGACUCAGCGAAAUUGAAUUGCCUGUCAAGAUGCAGGCUUCCCGCGGUUAGACGGAAAGACCCCGUGCACCUUUACUACAGCUUCGCACUGGCAUCAGGCACAACAUGUGCAGGAUAGGUGGUGGGCUUUGAAACCAGGACGCUAGUUCUGGUGGAGCCUCCCUUGAGAUACCACCCUUGUUCUGCUUGAUGUCUAACCGCGGUCCGUUAUCCGGAUCCGGGGACCAGCGUGGCGGGUAGUUUGACUGGGGGCGGU
This 1137-nucleotide ribosomal RNA is filed under the name bioreactor metagenome. Its description in RNAcentral is "bacterial LSU rRNA". It matches the Rfam family "Bacterial large subunit ribosomal RNA", at positions 1093 to 2283 of the family's 2925-position model. The record is from RNAcentral.